Molecule: ribosomal RNA, 508 nt
Filed under: Burkholderia lata
Lineage: Bacteria; Pseudomonadati; Pseudomonadota; Betaproteobacteria; Burkholderiales; Burkholderiaceae
Description: bacterial SSU rRNA
Rfam family: Bacterial small subunit ribosomal RNA
Source: RNAcentral
GUGGGGAAUUUUGGCCAAUGGGGGAAAUCUUGAUCCAGCAAUCCGGGGUGUGUGAAGAAGGCUUUGGGGUUGUAAAGCACUUUUGUCCGGAAAGAAAUCCUUGGGUGUAAUACAGUCGGGGGAUGACGGUCCCGGAAGAAUAAGCCCGGGCUAAUUAGGUGCCAGCAGCCGCGGUAAUACGUAGGGUGGGAGCGUUAAUCGGAAUUUCUGGGCGUAAAGCGUGCGCAGGCGGUUUGCUAAGACCGAUGUGAAAUCCCCGGGUUCACCUUGGGAACUGCAUUGGUGACUGGCAGGCUAGAGUAUGGCAGAGGGGGGUAGAAUUCCACGUGUAGCAGUGAAAUGUGUAGAGAUGUGGAGGAAUACCGAUGGCGAAGGCAGCCCCCUGGGCCAAUAGUGACGCUCAUGCAAGAAAGCGUGGGGAGCAAACAGGAUUAGAUCCCCUGGUAGUCCACGCCCUAAACGAUGUCAACUAGUUGUUGGGGAUUCAUUUCCUUAGUAACGUAGCUAA